AGAGUUUGAUCAUGGCUCAGGACGAACGCUGGCGGCGUGCUUUAGACAUGCAAGUCGAACGCGAAAGCCCCUUCGGGGGCGAGUAGAGUGGCGAACGGGUGAGUAACACGUGGGUAACCUACCCCUCACUGGGGGAUAACCGGGGGAAACCCCGGCUAAUACCCCAUCCGCUUUCUGGGUCGCAUGGCCCGGCAAGGAAAGGUAGCUUCGGCCAUCCGGUGAGGGAGGGGCUCGCGGCGUAUCAGCUAGUUGGCGGGGUAACGGCCCACCAAGGCAACGACGCGUAGCCGGUCUGAGAGGACGACCGGCCACAUUGGGACUGAGAUACGGCCCAGACUCCUACGGGAGGCAGCAGUGGGGAAUCUUGGACAAUGGGCGCAAGCCUGAUCCAGCGACGCCGCGUGGGUGACGAAGGCCUUCGGGUUGUAAAGCCCUUUUCCCGGGGACGAUGAUGACGGUACCCGGGGAAUAAGCACCGGCUAACUCCGUGCCAGCAGCCGCGGUAAGACGGAGGGUGCUAGCGUUGUUCGGAAUUACUGGGCGUAAAGGGCGCGUAGGCGGCAGGGACAGUCGGAUGUGAAAGCCCGGGGCUCAACCCCGGAACGGCAUCCGAUACUCUUCUGCUCGAGACCGGGAGAGGUGGGUGGAAUACCCAGUGUAGAGGUGAAAUUCGUAGAUAUUGGGUGGAACACCGGUGGCGAAAGCGGCUCACUGGCCCGGUUCUGACGCUGAGGCGCGAAAGCGUGGGGAGCAAACAGGAUUAGAUACCCCCGUAGUCC
RNAcentral lists this ribosomal RNA (779 nucleotides) under uncultured Alphaproteobacteria bacterium. RNAcentral's name for it is "bacterial SSU rRNA". It matches the Rfam family "Bacterial small subunit ribosomal RNA", at positions 8 to 796 of the family's 1533-position model. The record is from RNAcentral. Lineage: Bacteria; Pseudomonadati; Pseudomonadota; Alphaproteobacteria.